AUUCUCGGCUCCGUAGGAAGGCGUUGGUGAACUUCGUGCAUCCAGGGAGGCUCUGCUGGCCGAGCUGAAGCUACUGGAGCUCAAAUCUUCGUAACUCGCUACAGAUUGGCUACCUCCUGCAACACAGAAGACCUUUAUUUGUCCUUGGGUGACAGGGAACCUCAACCCGUUCGCUUCUAGCUGCAGUAAGUGAUUGCAGCCUCAACUAGCAAAGCAGCAAACCGUCAGAGAAAGGGUACUGGGAUAGGAAAUGUAUAUUGACCAUAUUGCAAUUGACACUAGCGGAGUUCUAACUCUAUAUUGAAAUACAUCAUUUAUUAUUCACAGUGAAGAAAUAAUUUUGAAACUUUAUUGCUUUACUGAAACUGUAUCUUGCGUUUGUUAGUUCCUUGCUAACUUGUAGAUCGAAUAAGGUUUUAUAGUUAUACAUCCAAACAAUUACAUAGUACAGAUCCGCAUGGGUAGUUACUAUCAAAUGUAUUCGCGGGCUUGGUAUGGGAUCUUCGUAA
Molecule: long non-coding RNA, 509 nt
Filed under: Neodiprion lecontei (redheaded pine sawfly)
Lineage: Eukaryota; Metazoa; Arthropoda; Insecta; Hymenoptera; Diprionidae
Description: uncharacterized LOC124295219
Source: RNAcentral